GAUUUUUAUAUGUUAAUGUAUAUGUUGCCUAUAGUACGUGUAAAAUUGAUCCUUAGAUAUAUAUGUUAAUUUUGCUUUUGUUUGUGUUUUAUGCUUCUUAUGCUGGAAUAAAUUGAGCAGAUGAACUUGCCCUCGUAUAGUAUUGGACCCGAUAACUAAUUGUGGCGAAACUGAGAAAAUAUGGGCAGAUGGGUUUUCUAUUGCCCUCUAUCCUGCUUGUUAGGAGUGGAUUGACCAAACCAAAAUAUUAUUUAAAAUUAAUCAGAAUUCAAAGACUACUGGUUCUAUUAACAAAAACGUGUAUACCCAAGUAAUAGGACUGCUUACUUCUAUGCGUUAAUAAUGGGAACUUAACUUAUAAGGAAAUGAUAACUCCUAUCUAAAGUAGAAACGAACACCUGCAGUGACGAAUGGCAACGAGAUCGACUGCAGCAAAGUCCUUGCAAGUGAACAGUAAUUUCCAAAUGGUCUUCCAAUACAACUUUUCAUGAUCUGCCCAUUUUGAUUGAUACUGUCUGCUCCUACACCAAAUACUACUUACUAUUAAUCCUUCAUAAUUGGCCAACCUAGCCCUUGUUUGAGCCCCCUUUAAGUGAAAGAAUGCAUUUUAAAAUAGUGAUUGAUGUCGAAUGUGUGGUUAAAAAUUAUGAGUUUUGCGUUUGCGUGUAAUAUUAUUUUAUUGAAGAAUGAGUGGUUGAAAAUGAGUUUUGAAAAAAUGAAUUUUUGGAAGAAUAUGGCUCAAACAAGGGCCUAGUAUUUGAGUUGGUGUUAUCUAAUGUGGAUUCUAUAAAACCUGAUCUUUAUAAAGAUAUUAAUAUGCUGGUGGAAGUUGAGGCUUGACCUUUGAGUACAAGUUCAGAGAAUGUGGAUCAUUUUACUGAAUAAAUGGAACUUCCAAGUUGUAGUUGUAGGUUUUCAAAGCAUUGCUCUUUCUGAGCAUUGUAUUUCUAAGAAUUUCAGCUUGCAUAUAAGUGUGACUGCUUUGAUACUUCGUGUUAACUGAC
Molecule: long non-coding RNA, 1004 nt
Filed under: Olea europaea subsp. europaea
Lineage: Eukaryota; Viridiplantae; Streptophyta; Magnoliopsida; Lamiales; Oleaceae
Source: RNAcentral